CGGCAGGCUUCAUACAUGCAAGUCGAGGGGCAGCAUAAAUUACUUGUAAUUUGAUGGCGACCGGCGAACGGGUGCGUAACGCGUAUGCAACUUACCUUUUACUAGAGAAUAGCCAAGAGAAAUUUUGAUUAAUGCUCUAUGUUCUUAUUUACUCGCAUGAGUAAAUAAGCAAAGCUCCGGCGGUAAAAGAUGGGCAUGCGUCCUAUUAGCUUGUAGGUGAGGUAACGGCUCACCUAAGCUCCGAUAGGUAGGGGUCCUGAGAGGGAGAUCCCCCACACUGGUACUGAGACACGGACCAGACUUCUACGGAAGGCAGCAGUAAGGAAUAUUGGACAAUGGAGGCAACUCUGAUCCAGCCAUGCCGCGUGAAGGAAGACGGCCUUAUGGGUUGUAAACUUCUUUUAUACAGGAAGAAACCUUUCCACGUGUGGAAAGUUGACGGUACUGUAAGAAUAAGGAUCGG
This 463-nucleotide ribosomal RNA is filed under the name uncultured bacterium. RNAcentral's name for it is "bacterial SSU rRNA". It matches the Rfam family "Bacterial small subunit ribosomal RNA", at positions 40 to 496 of the family's 1533-position model. The record is from RNAcentral.